GGAGGAAGGCGGGGAUGACGUCAAGUCAGUAUGGCCCUUAUGUCCUGGGCCACACACACGCUACAAUGGGUGGUACAAUGGGUUGCAAUGGAGUGAUCCGGAGCUAAUCCUGAAAAACCAUCCUCAGUUCGGAUUGCAGGCUGAAAUUCGCCUGCAUGAAGUCGGAGUUGCUAGUAACCGCGCAUCAGCUUGGCGCGGUGAAUACGUUCUCGGGCCUUGUACACACCGCCCGUCACGUCAUGAAAGUCGGCAACACCUGAAGCCGAUGAGCUAACCCGCAAGGGAGGCAGUUGUCUAGGGUGGGGUCGGUAAUUGGGACGAAGUCGUAACAAGGUAGCCGUAGCGGAAGCUGCGGCUGGAUCACCUCCUUUCUAGGGAGA
RNAcentral lists this ribosomal RNA (380 nucleotides) under Chloroflexi bacterium RBG_16_56_11. Its description in RNAcentral is "bacterial SSU rRNA". It matches the Rfam family "Bacterial small subunit ribosomal RNA", at positions 1165 to 1533 of the family's 1533-position model. Lineage: Bacteria; Bacillati; Chloroflexota. The record is from RNAcentral.